This 492-nucleotide ribosomal RNA is filed under the name uncultured bacterium. Its description in RNAcentral is "partial 16S ribosomal RNA". It matches the Rfam family "Bacterial small subunit ribosomal RNA", at positions 29 to 507 of the family's 1533-position model. The record is from RNAcentral.
AGUGAACGCUGGCGGUAGGCCUAACACAUGCAAGUCGAACGGCAGCACAGUAAGAGCUUGCUCUUACGGGUGGCGAGUGGCGGACGGGUGAGGAAUACAUCGGAAUCUACUUUUUCGUGGGGGAUAACGUAGGGAAACUUACGCUAGUACCGCAUACGACCUACGGGUGAAAGCAGGGGAUCUUCGGACCUUGCGCGAUUGAAUGAGCCGAUGUCGGAUUAGCUAGUUGGCGGGGUAAAGGCCCACCAAGGCGACGAUCCGUAGCUGGUCUGAGAGGAUGAUCAGCCACACUGGAACUGAGACACGGUCCAGACUCCUACGGGAGGCAGCAGUGGGGAAUAUUGGACAAUGGGCGCAAGCCUGAUCCAGCCAUACCGCGUGGGUGAAGAAGGCCUUCGGGUUGUAAAGCACUUUUGUUGGGAAAGAAAAGCAGCAGGUUAAUACCCCGCUGUUCUGACGGUACCCAAAGAAUAAGCACCGGCUAACUUCGUG